Molecule: ribosomal RNA, 478 nt
Filed under: uncultured Glomus
Lineage: Eukaryota; Fungi; Glomeromycota; Glomeromycetes; Glomerales; Glomeraceae
Description: SSU rRNA
Rfam family: Eukaryotic small subunit ribosomal RNA
Source: RNAcentral
AGCAGCCGCGGUAAUUCCAGCUCCAAUAGCGUAUAUUAAAGUUGUUGCAGUUAAAAAGCUCGUAGUUGAAUUUCGAGACCGGUUUACUGGUCGUGCUUUUGUACGUACUGGUAUUAUUGGUUUCUCCUUUCUGACGAAUCAUAAUGCCAUUAAUUUGGUGUUUUGGGGAAUCAGGACUGUUACUUUGAAAAAAUUAGAGUGUUUAAAGCAGGCUCACGCUUGAAUACAUUAGCAUGGAAUAACGAAAUAGGACGUUUGAUUUUAUUUUGUUGGUUUCUAGGAUCGACGUAAUGAUUAAUAGGGAUAGUUGGGGGCAUUAGUAUUCAAUUGUCAGAGGUGAAAUUCUUGGAUUUAUUGAAGACUAACUACUGCGAAAGCAUUUGCCAAGGAUGUUUUCAUUAAUCAAGAACGAAAGUUAGGGGAUCGAAGACGAUCAGAUACCGUCGUAGUCUUAACCAUAAACUAUGCCGACUAGGGA